GAUGAACGCUGGCGGCGUGCUUAACACAUGCAAGUCGAACGAUGAAGCCCAGCUUGCUGGGUGGAUUAGUGGCGAACGGGUGAGUAACACGUGAGUAACCUGCCCCUGACUCUGGGAUAAGCCCGGGAAACUGGGUCUAAUACUGGAUAUGACCUGUCACCGCAUGGUGGUGGGUGGAAAGAUUUUUUGGUUGGGGAUGGACUCGCGGCCUAUCAGCUUGUUGGUGAGGUAGUGGCUCACCAAGGCGACGACGGGUAGCCGGCCUGAGAGGGUGACCGGCCACACUGGGACUGAGACACGGCCCAGACUCCUACGGGAGGCAGCAGUGGGGAAUAUUGCACAAUGGGCGCAAGCCUGAUGCAGCGACGCCGCGUGAGGGAUGACGGCCUUCGGGUUGUAAACCUCUUUCAGUAGGGAAGAAGCCUUUGGGUGACGGUACCUGCAGAAGAAGCGCCGGCUAACUACGUGCCAGCAGCCGCGGUAAUACGUAAGGGCGCAAGCGUUAUCCGGAUUUAUUGGGCGUAAAGAGCUCGUAGGCGGUUUGUCGCGUCUUGCCGUGAAAGUCCGGGGCUUAACUCCGGAUCUGCGGUGGGUACGGGGCAGACUAGAGUGCAGUAGGGGAGACUGGAAUUCCUGGUGUAGCGGUGAAAUGCGCAGAUAUCAGGAGGAACACCGAUGGCGAAGGCAGGUCUCUGGGCUGUAACUGACGCUGAGGAGCGAAAGCAUGGGGAGCGAACAGGAUUAGAUACCCUGGUAGUCCAUGCCGUAAACGUUGGGCACUAGGUGUGGGGGACAUUCCACGUUUUCCGCGCCGUAGCUAACGCAUUAAGUGCCCCGCCUGGGGAGUACGGCCGCAAGGCUAAAACUCAAAGGAAUUGACGGGGGCCCGCACAAGCGGCGGAGCAUGCGGAUUAAUUCGAUGCAACGCGAAGAACCUUACCAAGGCUUGACAUGGACUGGAUCGCCGCAGAGAUGUGGUUUCCCUUCGGGGCUGGUUCACAGGUGGUGCAUGGUUGUCGUCAGCUCGUGUCGUGAGAUGUUGGGUUAAGUCCCGCAACGAGCGCAACCCUCGUUCCAUGUUGCCAGCGGGUUAUGCCGGGGACUCAUGGGAGACUGCCGGGGUCAACUCGGAGGAAGGUGAGGACGACGUCAAAUCAUCAUGCCCCUUAUGUCUUGGGCUUCACGCAUGCUACAAUGGCCGGUACAAAGGGUUGCGAUACUGUGAGGUGGAGCUAAUCCCAAAAAGCCGGUCUCAGUUCGGAUUGGGGUCUGCAACUCGACCCCAUGAAGUCGGAGUCGCUAGUAAUCGCAGAUCAGCAACGCUGCGGUGAAUACGUUCCCGGGCCUUGUACACACCGC
RNAcentral lists this ribosomal RNA (1359 nucleotides) under uncultured bacterium. RNAcentral's name for it is "bacterial SSU rRNA". It matches the Rfam family "Bacterial small subunit ribosomal RNA", at positions 28 to 1393 of the family's 1533-position model. The record is from RNAcentral.